AGUUAUAUUUUGCUGAAUUUCCAAAAGGAAAACGGGGGAACCAACGUUGGGGUGCAUUGUUUUGCUUUAUUAAAACAUAGGGUAGUUUCUAUCCGAACCCGUCAGCUAACCUCGUAAGCGUAUGAAACAAAUUUA
Molecule: small RNA, 135 nt
Filed under: Sporanaerobacter sp. PP17-6a
Lineage: Bacteria; Bacillati; Bacillota; Tissierellia; Tissierellales; Sporanaerobacteraceae
Also listed under: 1 other name
Description: c-di-AMP riboswitch aptamer (ydaO/yuaA leader)
Rfam family: c-di-AMP riboswitch aptamer (ydaO/yuaA leader)
About the family: This family represents a conserved RNA structure found upstream of the ydaO and yuaA genes in Bacillus subtilis and related genes in other bacteria. The ydaO/yuaA element is thought to act as a genetic "off" switch for the ydaO and yuaA genes in its native state. It is believed that the element may be triggered during osmotic shock leading to activation of ydaO, a predicted amino acid transporter gene, and members of the yuaA-yubG operon which code for KtrA and KtrB K+ transporters.
Source: Rfam by way of RNAcentral